RNAcentral lists this ribosomal RNA (458 nucleotides) under uncultured bacterium. Its description in RNAcentral is "partial 16S ribosomal RNA". It matches the Rfam family "Bacterial small subunit ribosomal RNA", at positions 355 to 825 of the family's 1533-position model. The record is from RNAcentral.
UGGGGAAUAUUGCACAAUGGGCGAAAGCCUGAUGCAGCGACGCCGCGUGCGGGACGAAGGCCUUCGGGUUGUAAACCGCUUUUAAUUGGGAGCAAGCGAGAGUGAGUGUACCUUUUGAAUAAGCACCGGCUAACUACGUGCCAGCAGCCGCGGUAAUACGUAGGGUGCAAGCGUUAUCCGGAAUUAUUGGGCGUAAAGAGCUCGUAGGCGGUUUGUCACGCCUGGUGUGAAAGUCCAUCGCUUAACGGUGGAUCUGCGCCGGGUACGGGCAGGCUAGAGUGCAGUAGGGGAGAUUGGAAUUCCCGGUGUAACGGUGGAAUGUGUAGAUAUCGGGAAGAACACCAAUGGCGAAGGCAGAUCUCUGGGCUGUUACUGACGCUGAGGAGCGAAAGCAUGGGGAGCGAACAGGAUUAGAUACCCUGGUAGUCCAUGCCGUAAACGGUGGAUGCUGGAUGUGG